AAGAAAAGCAGCGUAUGCAAAUUGUGAACAUAGUUUGGGCUAAUUCUUGAAUAGCCCAAUUUAUAUUCCAUACGGCACGGGUCAUCGUUGAAUUUCAUAAAUUCCUGCGGCGUUCGUUCUCAAAUACCCUAAUUCCUUCUAUAUAUUUACCCACAAUCAUAAACCCUAACAUAUACUCAGCAACUUCGAAAGCCAACAUGUGUUUUCUUCUUCGCCGCGCCAUUGUUGUUUGAUUUGGCCAGUGAUGUACUCAUUGCACGUAUUACCAGAUAUAUAGUUUGAUGAUCAAUGCUAAUUGUCACUACCGCUGAGGCCAUUUCCUACCUUUUGAUUUUAUUUGAAAGCAUGAAGCCUAAUGAUGUUCAUAAAGAACGGAGAUUUGAAAGUUGGUUUUGUAGAAGCCUUUGUGAAAGUAAGGGCUCCAAAAGCAUCGUAUGAAAAAAACCGUUUUAUGUUGGUAUCAAUGAAGGCUUGUUUGUGAAUUCUGGGCAAACAUCCUUUUUACAUGUUUGGUUUAUUUUGUUUUGAACAAUUAAAUUUGUU
Long non-coding RNA from Lathyrus oleraceus (garden pea), 543 nucleotides. RefSeq lists it as uncharacterized. The record is from RefSeq and is a predicted model, not a curated record. Lineage: Eukaryota; Viridiplantae; Streptophyta; Magnoliopsida; Fabales; Fabaceae. The transcript has 2 exons.